This 209-nucleotide long non-coding RNA is filed under the name Homo sapiens (human). RNAcentral describes it as "lncAB601.1". The record is from RNAcentral. Lineage: Eukaryota; Metazoa; Chordata; Mammalia; Primates; Hominidae.
UUCAAAGAAUUAAUGUAUCUUCCAACAAUAAAAUCACUUCUGAUUUUAAUCUAGGAAAACCUAAAUUGUGGCUAUGGAUCCAAAGCUGUUUGUUUCUUUGAAUAUCAAUAUUUUCAACAGGAUCUUGUAUUUAAAAUUCCCACCUACAUUGUUAAAUAUGUUAUUUUUUCAUAUCUCUUUUGGUUUUGAUAAUCUGAAGUGUUUUUUUC